This is an RNA transcript of Dreissena polymorpha, 1371 nucleotides long. RefSeq lists it as uncharacterized. The record is from RefSeq and is a predicted model, not a curated record. Lineage: Eukaryota; Metazoa; Mollusca; Bivalvia; Myida; Dreissenidae. The transcript is spliced from 5 exons.
UACAAUAGUCGGAGCUAAAGGAGACAUGGACGCCUUUUGCGCUUUGACAGACGAUAUAAUUACUCAAAUACUGAACUAUCCCUUUCCCAAACGGAAAGAACUUGAAGAUUUGAGAAAGACACAAGAACCUAACCAACAAAGGCUCGAGGUCUUGCGAGAAGAGGAACAAACAUGGUCAGAAGCAAGAUCGCUUUUGGAAAAAGUUUUGAAACGAAAAUUUUAUAAGUUUGUUGCCGAGAUAAAACUGCCAAGGCUCGCAAAGUUUCAAAGCAUACUUGAAAGAACGAUUGCUGAAUCCGGUGUUCAACAGAAUGACAUUGUUUGUCAGGUAGUUGACAAUAUUCAUUUGUUUUAAAGUAAAACCAUGUCAGUGUUAACACGAUUUUGUUUUAUGCCAUGACUCAUCUACUUAAUGGGUUUUCAAAAUAAAAGUUUUAUUUUUUAUAAUUUUAUGCACAGUAUAUGUUUCUUUUAAACAAAUUGAACUAUUCAACAUUAUACGUGCCAUACAACUGGUGACCAUACUUUUAUUCAGUUUGUGUUGCUUAGUUUUGCAACAUCGCAAUAAAGCAUAUUCGUUUCUUUUGAGAGAAAUCGUUCAAAACAUAUAACUAAUAAAUACAUCCACUGAAAAACAAACGUGUAAAAGUUUUCGUUCGUGUUCGUAUAAAUGUCAACAUCAGUUUUGGUUUUAUUGUUUUUAGUUCGUAGAGCUAGAUUAUGCACCAAAGGUGUGUAAAACAGUUGCUUUCUAUAGCAAACACAGGCCGGAUUUUGCUACAGUUGAACAGGUAAGAGGUUCUCAGUCGUAUUUAAAAGAGACAAUUGUUCGCGUGUUUUGCAAGGAAGACAGGCACUUCCAUCUACUAAAGGAGAAGCUCGACUUACUUACAGAUAUGAUGAAUACUCUCCAGUUGAGCUUUGCUGAUACGGCACUUGAACAACAGUAACCGUACAAGACACGUUCAGACUGUGGAUACAAAACACAAUUAACAAAGACAUACAGCUUGUAUACAUUCUUUAUCACUGCAAUAUUUUCUGAAUAUAUUUAUAUAAAUUUAACAGCGGAGAAUAGCAUUCCGGUAUUCUAAAAUAUUGAGUGUUCGUCAUUUGUCAUAGCUCUUAUAAAAUAUUCUAAUCACAUCGGUGUUUACAUGUGUUUAUUAUGGUCAAAUUGUUGAUGUGGUACUGCUUGUAGGUUUAAUAGUUUCAUUUUUUUUGUUAUUGCGAUUUUGUGCUAUAUAUUUUUAAUUGUAUAUGAACGUCCUGAAACUAAGAAAAUAUUCAUUUAUUCAUGCGUCAUAGUUAAUUGUUCUUUGAAAUAUAAAACAUUACAUCCAUAUAUUGACAUUAACUUUUGCUAUUCAGAGU